Melospiza melodia melodia is the source of this 2726-nucleotide long non-coding RNA. RefSeq lists it as uncharacterized. The record is from RefSeq and is a predicted model, not a curated record. NCBI's taxonomy places the organism in Eukaryota, Metazoa, Chordata, Aves, Passeriformes, Passerellidae. The transcript is spliced from 10 exons.
AGGAAGUCAAGGCAGAGAGCAGCAGUCAAGGCCAGUGGGCAAGGUGGUCCACUUGCAGUCUUCUCCUGGCCGAGCACACCCAUGCCAGGUAUCUUCUGGGCACCCUACUGAGUCACAUCAAGUUUUGAGGUACCCUGAGGAGGCUCUUAGCCAAAGCUUGGAAAGGGCAGCACACAUUGAGAACAUCUCGACAUCCACGUCCAGCCGAGGAUGGAUUUUGUCUGCUCCUCCUCCAAAAGCUAAGUGUUGGGGCCCGUGGUUGGGAGAACGGGAAAAGCCUUUACUGUCACAGGGGUCAGUUUCAUGUUAGCUUAGUGGAGAGGUCUGUAGUGGACAGGCUCUCUGGAAAUAAAGGGAGAGGGUUUCUCCUCAGCCUCACCAUAGCCUUUGCUGGGCAGGGCAGUUCCGACCCAUCUCCACAGUCUCGUGAACUUUGCGUCAUCAGCCUUCCUCGACUCAUCGUCAUGGCUCUUUCCCCCGAGGAGCUCGCCUUCAGUUCCGGAGCUAUAGCCAUGUCACUCGGCAGUCCGCUUCCUUCUCUAAGGCUUGCUGAGCCUCUCGAGCAUCCUCCUAACUGCUUUGGCCCUAACAUCCUUUAAUGAGCUACAUUUCAUCAUCACGUGCUGUCGUCAUAGGGCUUCCUUGGCCUCAGUGGCCUCUGGCUCAUCUUGCGCUAGGACUCUCGGUCCCCUACGGGGAAGUGCCAAGAAGUUGCAACUUGUCUCUGUGUUAUGUCAUCUGUGUCUGUUAUGGUGUCCGUGUCUGUGUUAUGUAGUGUGUGUCCAUUGUCUUCCACAUCAUAGGCCUUUGUUACAUCUCGAUGCGUUAUCGCACUCUUCUGUGCCAUAAGAGGCCGUGUUCUACUCACAUUCCUUUCUGGAUAUCCCUUAUUCUGGCAUCUUUACAUUUUUAUUCUUUGAAACAGGAAUGUCUCACAGGGAUGAGAUGUUCUCAUCCAUCUUCCUUCUCACUGCCAGCUUUGGUAGGGCCUUUUUUUCCAUUUUUUUGGACUUUCUCGAGGGAGCGUCUUACACCCUCCUCACGUGACUGCAGUAGUUCUAUAGGCUCCAUCUUCUCAAAGGGUGUAGGGCUCAAGAAUUCCGCUUCCAGAGAGUUAUCUCCAGUCCUGGCUUGUAUUGUAUGUACCUUUAUUGACUUAUAUUGUAUGUACUCACAUUGUAUGUACCUAUGCUGGCUUGUACUGUAUGUACUUAUAUUGUAUGUACCUAUGUUGGCUUAUACUGUGUGUACUUACACUGUAUGUAAGUUCGUCGCCCUACAUUAUGUGUAUUUACACUCUGUGUAUACUUGCACUGUAUGCAUCAGCUUAUAUUGUGUGUACUUACAUUGUACCACUUAUGAUCGGAGCUGCCCUGCCCUGGCACAUAGUCACAGUUAGGUACAACAGUUAUAACAACUUUUACUGUUCAUCUGUCUUUCGUGGGAUUUUGGGUAGAAAAUUUAUCAGUCCAGAGUGGGGACAAGUCCUAGCUUUCAGAUAGCCACUAGCUGACCCUUCCUGUUGUCUCACAGGUCGCCGAGGCUGCUGAUUUCCCCAGGAUCUGCCAUUUACCUCAAGGAGUGGUAGCCAGAAGAUGUGUCGAAGCACAGACUUCACCGUGUCAGCUAAAGGCCGCAGUGAGUGUGGUACUGAGAAAACACGUCUCCCUUAGAGUCCCACAGAAAGGUUCUCAGUGCGAUCUCUAUCAAGUGCUAUGAGUCUUGAUCAAUUGGAGAAGAGCCCAAGAGAAAUUUUUCAUCCCUUGAUAUAAAAGGGAUCGGUGAAUUUUAACUUUGGAGUCCCCUAUGCUAAGGAUGCUCAGCUUACAGGUGAUGAAAUGUUCAGUAAUGUAUUUGCUGCAGCUCUGCUUACCCAAGCUUUGGGUUCCUUCUGUCCCACUGGGACUUGCCCAAUUUGGUUGCAUCUGGUGAAAUUCACCCUGAGACCUUACAGAACCAGCUCCAACUACGUGAGAGCCAUUUGCAGUUCUCUCCAGACGCCUGGAGAAUGGGCGACGUUUCUGAGGAUCCGGCGAGCGUGCUUCUGUCAAAACUCAGUCUGUGAAAUUCCUGGGGAAAACCCUUCUGUGUCCUGAAGGGUUCAAACUCUGGUGAGGAUCCAGUUCUCAGGUGCUCACCUGGAUGGUUCCAGCUCCCAAAGGGAAAGACUCUCGUAUCCUUGUCGUCGGGCUCGGUGCUGUCCAAGAAGAUACGGGGACUAAAAAAAUAAUAAGAAGCAAAAUAUGACUGCAGGGAAAAGAAGCUGGAGAGAACAGAAGAGCCCUGUUGUACUAAUCAUCAUACAAGUACAAAACAACAAAUCAGACCCUGUCCCAAGCACUUAGUGCCCAGAACACGAUUUCCUCGGGCUGCCAUUUGUGUGCCAUCGGUACUCACCACGGAAGGGAGCUGGGGAUUGUUGCAGCUGUUGGGAACAAACCGCUUCUCGUCACACAGAAAUGGAAUUGGGACGACGCCUCGGCCAGCCCCUCUCUGCCAUCGUCUCCUGAAUCUGCAGCAGAGCAGUUCCAGUCCAUCCCGGCACGUGUAAUCCAGUUCCUGAUGAUCUGAGCACACGGAGCAGCGCUCAGCUGCUGUGGGGGGCUCAGGGAAGGCAGAGUGUGCAUUGUCAUCUUCCUGAACCUACAGACAAAUCAAAGUGAGAAGCCACAGCGUGGAAAUCAGUCACAUAUAUGCUAAAUAAAACUUGCAGAUUUUUUUAAGAA